RNAcentral lists this non-coding RNA (30 nucleotides) under Mus musculus (house mouse). Lineage: Eukaryota; Metazoa; Chordata; Mammalia; Rodentia; Muridae. The record is from RNAcentral.
UAGAAGAAAAUUUNGGUGCAAGCAUCGUGA